AACUAGUUUAUCCUGCCAGUAGUGAUAUGCACGUGUAAGUACAAGCGAUACCAGAAAGUGAAACCGCAAAUGGAUCAUUAAAUCAGUUACGGUCCCCUUGGCGGUUGAGAUUACUUGGAUAACUGUGGUAAUCCAAGAGCUAAUACACGCCCGGGAGCUCCGAUCCCGCGAGGGAGAUGAGUGCUUUUAUUAGACCAAGACCAGCCCGCGUUCGCGCGGCAGCGACUGGUGACUCUGUAUAACCUAGGGCGGAUCGCACGGGCUCGUCCAGGCGACGCGUCUAUUGUGUGUCUGCCUUGUCAACUGUCGAGGGUAGGUCAUGCGCCUACCAUGGUCGUGACGGGGAAUCAGGGUUCGAUUCCCGAGAGGGAGCCUGAGAAACGGCUACCACAUCCAAGGAAGGCAGCAGGCAUGCAAAUUACCCACUCCCGGCCCGGGGAGGCAGUGACGAAAAAUAGCGAUACGGGACUCUUUCGAGACCCCAAGAUCGCAAGGUAAAGAGUGUUCGAAAGGAACGAUUGGAGGGCAAGUCUGGUGUCAGCAGCUGCAAUAACUCCAGCUCCGAUAGCGUAAGCUAAAUUUGUUGCGAAUGAAAAGCUCGUAGUCGGAUCUCAACCCGAGACGGUGGGGUGCGUCAGCGCCCUUUCCGGUCUCUCGGGCUCUGGCUGUUUUCCGAACCACGAUCUUAACCGGUCGUGGUGCGGGGUCCGGUCAGUUUACCUUGCAGAAACUGAAGUGCUCAAAGCAGGCCUGUCGCC
Molecule: non-coding RNA, 758 nt
Organism: Nephila pilipes (giant wood spider)
Lineage: Eukaryota; Metazoa; Arthropoda; Arachnida; Araneae; Nephilidae
Source: the annotation of a GenBank genome assembly